Long non-coding RNA from Cygnus atratus (black swan), 712 nucleotides. RefSeq lists it as uncharacterized. The record is from RefSeq and is a predicted model, not a curated record. Lineage: Eukaryota; Metazoa; Chordata; Aves; Anseriformes; Anatidae. The transcript has 3 exons.
AGGUGACUGAGAAAUGGUGGUUAGGAGAGUGAAAACUGAAAUAUGACACUGACAUGUAGUACGUCUGUGGCCUAAUUGACAACCCUGAAAAUGUCUUCGUAGCAAUACAAGUGAGUUGAUUGCCAGGUGACAAUGGUUCUUCAGGACGUUAUCCAAAUUCUUUGUCCAGAAGCGGAAAAUUGUGGUGAUUGUCUGACCAGAGAAUUGGCCUCCCAUAUGACUUAUACCAGUUCCCAGAAGCUCACUUAAUACACACGCUUGCUGCAGUGACUACUUCCCUAAAGAGCCAUGUACCAGCGUGCGACAGCCCUCUCAGUGAAGAGCCUCUUCCUGAUGUCUUGCCUAAACCUCCCCUGCCUACCAGCUUGACACCAUUCCUGCAGGUUUUCUUAACAGAUAGAAUUUAUUGAGAUAACUUUGUAUGCUACAUCUUCAAUAGUCCAUUAAAAAGGAAAAAAUAGAAGAGAGGCCUGCAAGCUAUAAGCUCCUGGUAAGGUCCCUUUCUACCAGCUCAGUUAUAUCAUCUUGUUUUAGAAAAGAUCUUUAUAAUGUAUAAAUAAACAACAAAUAUAUGUCAUUGUUGCUUUUCCCUCAAACUGCAUUUAGUUUUUAGUGCUUCUAAUGCUAUAAAAUAUCUCUAUAAAUUUUGUGUGCAAAGGCUAUAUUGAGUUAUAUUUAAAUUAGGGUGCAGAGACAACAUGUUGAAAGACAA